Molecule: non-coding RNA, 2408 nt
Organism: Xyrichtys novacula (pearly razorfish)
Lineage: Eukaryota; Metazoa; Chordata; Actinopteri; Labriformes; Labridae
Source: the annotation of a GenBank genome assembly
UGAUCUGGUAAUCAAGCAGUUUGGAGGCAUUCACUCACAGUGUGGCAGUGGAGAGGACUGUGUGGAGUGUCUUGAGACACCAUGCUGGGCUUACAACAAACAAAUGGACUUGCUCAAAGAAAGAGGAAGGAGCCGGUGAGCUUCUGAUGUAUUCUGUUUAUGGAAAUGUGUGGAUUAAAAUCAUGUGGUUAAAAUUUAAGUCAAAAUGUCAUGUUAGAGGAUCAUGUGGUUAAAACCUGAAGAAAAUGUCAUGUUUAAUGUCAUGUGGAUUUAAAAUUACUAAUGAUAAAAAGACUACUCACUUUGAGUUAAAGCAGGAAAUUUAAAAGGCGGUACAAAAACAUGGUUCUCAACAGGUGCAAGGAGGAAAUUUAAUCAUCGGGUGUUUUCAUAAAUGAUUUAUGAACUUAUUUAUUCUAUUUAUGUUUAAUUUUUUGUUAAUAUAAUGUAAAUAUGUUGGAGACUGACUGUUUAUUGACUAGCGGAGAAGGGGUAGGUUUAAAGAAAACCAUUAUGCUUCAUCCUACUUCUUUUCAGACAUGUUGGGUUCACGUUAUUAUCCCUCAGGGGCUCUUAGGAUGUUGUUUUUGUCCAUUUUUGGUGACUCUUUACCUUUUUAUUUGUUUUGGCUGUGUUAAUGCAAGUGGGAUGAUUUUUUUUCAGGGUUAUUUUUUUUUUCCAAAUUUUAAAACCUGACCACCCAUCAUUAUAUCAGGUCAAUAUUCACUGUGUGACAAAAACACCAUACAUUUAGGUCCUUAGAUGGACAAAAUGUCCAUCUCCUAAAAGUACCAAAAACUAUUAUACAUGAAUAUUUUUUUUCCACUUUUAGUGCCUAAAUCUUUAAUCAACUUCAUUGCUGAUCAUAUCGAUCAAAUAUUGAUUCAUUUUCAGUUUUAACCCUUUAAAUGCCAGUUUGACUGUAUGAUGUCACUGUUAUUUUUCAUGGGAAAAAAAGAGAGUUAUUUUCCAUAUUUAAGAUGCUGGGCAGGAAUUUCUUUCUUUAUUUUUUAUCAAGGUCUAUGAUGUGCCAAUAAUUAACAACAUUAAUUUAGAUGCAUUAUGUUUGAUAUAUUGUCCGAUUUCUAAAAAAGUUACACUUAGAUCUAACUAAAAAAAUCUUUUGGUUCGAGUGUUUAAGAGAAAUCAGACAAUACAUCAAACAAAAUAAUGCAUCAUAAUUAAUGUUGUUGUUAAUAAUUGGCAUAUCAUAGGCUGCCAGAGGUGGGAAAAAAAAUCAGCAUCUAAUAUAUGGAAAAUAACUCCAAAUUCUUUUUUUUUUUCACAUUAAAAAUAACAGUGACAUGAUAUAUUCAAACUGGCAUUGAAAGGGUUAAAAUUCUGAACAUGAAUUAAUAUUUGAUAGAUAUGAUCAGGAAUGAAGUUGAUUAAAAGAUUUAAGCAAAAAAGUGGAAAAAAUAUUAAUGUAUGAUAAUUUUAUAUCAUUUUUAGGAGAUGGACAUUAUUGUCCAUCGAAAGACCUAAGUGUAACUAUUUUUCAAGGACCCCAGAGGGUUAUUCAUAUCACUCUGUAUCUCUCUUUUGCUUUGUCCAUCUCCUCCUGCUUCUAUUGUCACCAGGUUUUGACAGAACCUCCAUCUAUCUGCUGCCUCAUUGUUGAUGGCUCUGACCUUGUGCCACUUGGGUCACCUCCAUCCUUAUCAGUACUACGACUCUCUUGCUUCACCUCCACCGCCAUUAUCCAGCAGCCAUCCUCAUAGCUUUGUCAGAUAUGAAGACAUCACAGUGCGGUGAAAUGAACAAAGACACUGUAGAUUGUGCAGCACUGUAAGCAAUCCCAUCUCUCGUGGCCAUGUCUCCUAUUUGGCAGUGAAUGACCUUGAAAACCUUUCACAAUAUUAAGGAGAAGCAGCAUGGAAGUCUUGAUGCUUCACAGGAAAUAGAAAAUAGUGUGUAUGCUAAUUCUGGACUGUUUUAUUGAGACUUGUAUCUCCUCUUCUGGAUGUUGGUGGUUUGUUGGUGGUGAUGAAACAGAGACUAUUCUUAGCACCACCUUUGACCCUUUCAAGUUGCAUUGAUAUAAAUUUAUGCAUUUAUUCAUCCUUGACCUUAACAGUAAAUUUUUUGAGUGAAUGCUGGAGGCUGUUGGGGGGGAUUUUUCUUACCCUCAAACUGAAUCAUAUGAGAAACAUCUGUAACAUCUGGUGAGAGUGUUUGAACAUCCCCGUCACUUCCAGCUAUAAGGGGAAAAAAAAGUUGAGAAUUGGCGUCAUCUUCUCAGAAUCGAUGAGUAAACUUCACAGCUGCCAAAGUUUAUCGUGAGUGUUUUAAAAAGAGCGAUUUGUUGAUGCCAGAUGUUUAGAGAUCAUAUCAACAGAGGGGUGAGCCAACAGAUCAUUGAUGCAAACGGUACAGCAUGAUUGAACAUAAAAGGCCAGUAGGUGAAG